GCUCUAUAACCCUUUGUGAACAUACCUAUAACUGUUGCUUCGGCGGGUAGGGUCCCCGCGACCCUCCCGGCCUCCCGCCUCCGGGCGGGUCGGCGCCCGCCGGAGGAUAACCAAACUCUGAUUUAACGACGUUUCUUCUGAGUGGUACAAGCAAAUAAUCAAAACUUUUAACAACGGAUCUCUUGGUUCUGGCAUCGAUGAAGAACGCAGCGAAAUGCGAUAAGUAAUGUGAAUUGCAGAAAUUCAGUGAAUCAUCGAAUCUUUGAACGCACAUUGCGCCCGCCAGCAUUCUGGCGGGCAUGCCUGUUCGAGCGUCAUUUCAACCCUCAAGCUCUGCUUGGUGUUGGGGCCCUACAGCUGAUGUAGGCCCUCAAAGGUAGUGGCGGACCCUCCCGGAGCCUCCUUUGCGUAGUAACUUUACGUCUCGCACUGGGAUCCGGAGGGACUCUUGCCGUAAAACCCCCCAAUUUUCCAAAGGUUGACCUCGGAUCAGGUAGGAAUACCCGCUGAACUUAAGCAUAUCAAUAAGCGGAGGAAAAGAAACCAACAGGGAUUGCCUCAGUAACGGCGAGUGAAGCGGCAACAGCUCAAAUUUGAAAUCUGGCCCUAGGCCCGAGUUGUAAUUUGCAGAGGAUGCUUUUGGUGCGGUGCCUUCCAAGUUCCCUAGAACGGGACGCCAGAGAGGGUGAGAGCCCCGUACAGUUGGACACCAAGCCUUUGUAAAGCUCCUUCGACGAGUCGAGUAGUUUGGGAAUGCUGCUCAAAAUGGGAGGUAUAUUUCUUCUAAAGCUAAAUACCGGCCAGAGACCGAUAGCGCACAAGUAGAGUGAUCGAAAGAUGAAAAGCACUUUGAAAAGAGGGUUAAACAGCACGUGAAAUUGUUAAAAGGGAAGCGCUUGUGACCAGACUUGCGUCCGGUGAAUCACCCAGCUCUCGCGGCUGGGGCACUUCGCCGGCUCAGGCCAGCAUCAGCUCGCUGUCGGGGACAAAAGCUUCAGGAACGUAGCUCUCUUCGGGGAGUGUUAUAGCCUGUUGCACAAUACCCUUCGGCGGGCUGAGGUACGC
RNAcentral lists this ribosomal RNA (1065 nucleotides) under fungal endophyte. RNAcentral's name for it is "eukaryotic LSU rRNA". The stretch from base 480 to 1065 matches the Rfam family "Eukaryotic large subunit ribosomal RNA", at positions 1 to 598 of the family's 3401-position model. Lineage: Eukaryota; Fungi. The record is from RNAcentral.